This 397-nucleotide ribosomal RNA is filed under the name Oithona sp. AR-2011. RNAcentral's name for it is "partial 16S ribosomal RNA". Lineage: Eukaryota; Metazoa; Arthropoda; Copepoda; Cyclopoida; Oithonidae. The record is from RNAcentral.
UCGCCUGUUUAACAAAAACAUCUUAAUCAUAGUUUAUAACGCCUGCUCAAUGAAAAAUUUAAAUAGCCUUAUGCUAAGGUAGCAUAAUAAUUUGUUUUUUAAUUGAAAAAUAGAAUGAAAGGUAUCUCAGACUUUGUUGGUUUUUAUUAUAUAUCAAAUUUUUAAUUUUAGUGAAAAUACUAAAAUUAUACUUUUAGACUAAAAGACCCUAUGAAGCUGACUAAUAUUAUAUUAUUAUGAUUAGGUCUAUUAGGUUAUUUGGGGUAAAUUUAAAAAGUAAUAUUUAAACAAUAAAAUUGAACCACAUAUGUUUAAAUGAAUUAGCUCCUCUAGGGAUAACAGCUUUAUAGACGUUAAAGACCAUAUUUAAUUGUCUGAUUGUGACCUCGAUGUGAAU